Trichonephila inaurata madagascariensis is the source of this 73-nucleotide non-coding RNA. The record is from the annotation of a GenBank genome assembly. Lineage: Eukaryota; Metazoa; Arthropoda; Arachnida; Araneae; Nephilidae.
GUGUCGGUAGCGUAAUGGAUAUCGCAUUGGACUUCUAAUCCGAAGGUCGUGGGAUCGAAUCCCACGUGGGAUU